AUGGCAUGGACUCGCCGAGUCCGAUGAACAGACUCGGCGAGUAGCUUGAAGAUUAACUGGGACUCGUCGAGUUGUUCUUCAGACUCGGCGAGUUGAGUCGGGGUGGCCCCGCGAUUCUUCCAGGAGGAACUCGUCGAGUCAAGGAGGAUACUCGACGAGUAGAAAGGGAAUCUUAGAGAAUUGGUGAGGACGUCUAGACUCGCCGAGUCGCCCUAGCACUCGCCGAGUCAGGUCAAGUUGACCGUUGACCGUUGACCAGAGUUGACCUAUGUUUGACUUCUUAGGGAUAGUCAAACUUAGAAGAUAAAAGUGUUAAUAAGAGAUGUAUGAUGUUAUAGGGAGAUUGUAGCUCGGCGGAUCGAGCACGAGUGACUUCGGGAUUUGCUAGCUUUCGACAUUCACGAGGUGAGUCUUCUCACUAUACUGUACCCGGAAGGGUUUGACUGUGUGACCGGAAGGUCGGAUAUGAUAUGUGAUAUAUGUGCUAUAUGUGAUAAGUUAAUUGUUAUGCGUGCUAUGUAUGUUAUGUGGGCCGGAAGGCAUUAUGUUAUGGGCCGGAAGGCGAUUAUGUUAUGGGCCGGAAGGCGUUGUGUUGUGGACCGGAAGGUCGGCGUGGGUAGGACCGGAAGGUUUACCCAGCAGGGACGGAAGUCCCCUGAGACACAUGGACCGGAAGGUCAGGGCCUGGAAAGGCGUAUGUGCGUAAGUUGUAUAUUGGGGAACUCACUAAGCAUUUAUGCUUACAGUUGUUAUGUAUGUGUUUCAGGUACUAGCGAGGACCGUGGGAAGGCGCCGGCGUGAUCUGUACACACUGAAGGAUGUUUUGUGAUCUUGGGAUUUAGAUGAUUUGUAUUUUGACAUGACACUUGAAAUGUUUAUGCCUUGUUUUGAAUGAAAAUACUAUAUUUUGAAAUGAAAAAUUUGUUUGAAAAUUUACGGUGUUACAAAUUGGUAUCAGAGCCUUGGUUUGAGGGAUUCGGGUGCACCUUCGGGCGUAACUGAACUCAAACCGAGGAUUUGAGGAAAACUUUUAAAAUAAAGGCAUAAACUUUUAUAAAUGAUUUUGUGGUAAACAAGAAAGAAGCAGUGUGUACGAUCAGUCAGCGCCCGAACGGUAAAGAUCCCCAAAAUACCUUACAAUGUUAUGUUAUGAGAUAAGUUAUGAUAUGAAUUGUUAUGCAUGCUAGAAGACUAGGUAUUCAUGAUAGGACUAGAGUGGCCUGAUUUGUGAUGCCUUAGUCUAGGGAGGUUUGCCGAUAUGAGAUGCUUUGAUAGCGUGCAGAUAGAUAGUGCAUAUCAGAGGUAGAGUACUCACUAUCCGGGGUUUGGGGAGGAAGAUUUGGGAUGAAUGCUGAUGCGGUGUGGUCGGUAGUAUUGGGCCCGUACUACCGAAGACACCGGGUCAGUGGGAGACCCAAGUAAGAAUCCCUGGAUAUCGGAGACUGAGUAGGGUUGCGUUAUCGAGUGCGAUUAUACUCGAUGGAGUCUCUGAUAGUUUUAUGUUGUAUUUCAGAGACAUCAUGGUUAGACCACGCCACGGAGCGAGUUCGAGCGGUGUGAGUGACGAGGAGAUUCGUCAGAUGAUUCAUGAGGAGGUGGCUGCAGCGAUCCGGGCUGAGAUUCCGGAGAUGUUUGGGUCUAUUAAGACCACCUUGAUGGAGACUUUUGAGGAGCGGUACGCCGCAUUGACUGAGGCUGCAGCCGCUGCAGCUACCGCAGCUGUGGCCGCUGCCAGGCCACAGGGGGGUGACUCGUUGCUGUUUCGGGAGUUCAGCAACACGAAGCCACCUGAGUUUGAUGGGACGCAGGAUCCGAUUGCUGCGAUGAGGUGGAUCGCUGAUAUUGAGGGGUGCUUCUACACUUGUUCAUGUCCGGAGCAUCUGAGGGUACGGUUCGCUUUGAACCAGCUCCGUCUGGGAGCGAAGGAUUGGUGGAAGUUCGUGACGGCGAACUUCACUUUGGCAGAGAUUUCAGCAGUGACAUGGGAGGGGUUUACCUCUAUGUUCAGAGACGAGUACGUUCCCCCGGUGGAGAGGGAACGAUUGGUUCAGGAGUUCUUGACCCUCAAGCAGGGUACUGAUUCGGUUGCGGUGAUCACGCGGAAGUUUCAUGAGAGGGCGAUGUUCUGCCCCGAGCUGGUGUCCACAGAGCAGGCUCGGAUGAGCCGGUACUUGGGUGUUUUGAGGAGGGAUAUCCGGGAGUUUGUGUCAAACUCCACCUAUCAUACCUUUGCUGAGCUUCAGGCGAAUGCCAGGAAGCGCGAGAUCGAGUUGGAGACCCAGGCCAGGGAGGAGGCCGAGUCUCAGCGGGUGGACCGGCGGCCGGCUCAGUCUCAGCCGGCAGCCAAGCGGACUAAGUCCGCUGAUUCGAGGACGGGAGGUCCGAAGGGCCGCACUUGCGGAAAGUGCGGCAAGGGUCAUGAGGGGGCAUGUCGAUCUGGUGCUUGCUACAAGUGUGGCAAGGAGGGGCACAUUGCUAGGGAUUGCCCCAAGGGGUUUACGGUUUGCUUUCAUUGCAACCAGACAGGCCAUCGGAAGGCCGAGUGCCCUCAGCUUCUUCAGGGAUCUGCACCUACUGCCAGGGCUACUGAGACUCGACCGGUGAAGGCCGAGGCCCCGAGGGCUCGUGGGAGAGCCUUUCAGCUGACUGCGGAGGAGGUCCGCGCUGCGCCCGAUGUUGUGGCAGGUAUGCUGUAUUUCAUGUAUUUAUUUUGAUGUCGAGAUGUUAUGCUUAUGUUAUGAUAUGCGUAGGUACUUUCCUUGUGAACUCUGUGCCUGCUUUAGUGUUAUUUGACUCGGGUGCGAGUAGGUCCUUUGUAUCUUUGGCUUUUAGUCAGCAUAUCAGCGUUAGUCGUGAGUCGUUGAGUCGGCCUCUGAGAGUUUCUAUAGCUGACGAGAGAGUGAUUUGUGCCACGGAGGUUCUCCGGGGAUGUGUGUUAGAGAUUUUCGGGGUUGAGUUUCCGAUUGACCUGAUUCCUAUUGCGAUGGGUGAUGUCUGUGUCAUUGUGGGCAUGGACUGGUUGAGCCGAUUCGGCGCUGUCAUCGACUGUGAGCGUCAGUUGGUGACUAUACGAGACCAUAGUGGGGGAGUUCUUUCGGUGUACGGCGAGGGUACCCGUUCGGGAUCAGCUUUUUGUUCGGCCGCUAGGGCGAGGCAGUGUCUACAGCAGGGCUGUAAGGGUUUUGUGGCGUAUGUGAUGGAUACGCGGGAGGUUUCCGAGAGACCGAGAUCAGUUGAGGAGGUCCCAGUGGUGCGUGAGUUUCCAGAUGUUUUCCCCGAGGAGCUGCCGGGAGUACCUCCUGUGAGGCAAGUAGAGUUUGGUAUCGAUCUGGUUCCGGGGGCCGCGCCUAUUGCUAAGGUGCCUUAUCGUCUUGCACCUCCAGAGAUGCAAGAGUUGUCCUCGCAGCUUCAGGAGUUGCUGGGGAAGGGAUUCAUUCGGCCGAGCAGCUCGCCGUGGGGAGCACCUAUUCUGUUCGUCAAGAAGAAGGAUGGUUCACACCGGAUGUGCAUUGAUUACCGGGAGUUGAACAAGUUGACGGUCAAGAACCGUUACCCGUUACCGAGGAUCGAUGAUUUAUUCGAUCAGUUGCAGGGAGCAUCUUGGUUUUCCAAGAUCGAUCUGAGGUCAGGGUACCAUCAGGUGAGAGUGCGGGAUGAGGACGUCCAGAAGACAGCGUUUAGGACGCGAUAUGGGCAUUAUGAGUUUGUGGUGAUGCCUUUCGGGCUCACCAAUGCCCCGGCUGUGUUCAUGGAUCUCAUGAACAGGGUAUGCAGGCCGAUGUUGGAUCGGUCAGUGAUUGUAUUUAUCGACGACAUUCUGGUGUAUUCGAGAUCUAGAGAGCAGCAUGAGGAGCAUUUGAGGGAGGUCCUUGAGGUAUUGAGGUCGGAGAAGCUUUAUGCAAAGUUCUCCAAAUGUGACUUCUGGUUGCGGGAGGUCCAAUUUCUAGGACAUGUUGUUAAUCAGGAAGGGAUAUUGGUCGAUCCGGCCAAGGUUGAGGCGGUGAUGAGUUGGGAGGUGCCGAAGUCACCUUCUGAGAUCAGGAGUUUCCUUGGAUUGGCAGGGUAUUAUCGGAGAUUCAUUAAGGACUUCUCCAAAGUUGUAGUGCCACUCACUAGAUUGACCCGAAAGGGGGUUGCAUUCUUAUGGGGACCCGAGCAGCAGACCUCCUUUAAGACACUUCGCCAAAGGUUGUGCGAAGCUCCGGUAUUAGCUCUCCCGGAAGGGAUGGAGGAUUUUGUAGUAUAUUGCGAUGCAUCGAUUUCGGGGCUGGGUGAAGUGUUGAUGCAGAGGGGUCAUGUGAUAGCUUAUGCGUCGAGGCAGCUGAAGCCUCAUGAGGUGAAAUAUCCCACGCAUGAUUUAGAGUUGGGGGCAGUAGUGUUCGCUUUCAAGAUCUGGCGUCACUACUUGUAUGGGGUUCGAUGUAUGAUAUACACGAACCAUAAGAGCUUGAAGUAUUUGAUGGAUCAGCCCAACCUAAAUAUGCGUCAGAGGAGGUGGUUGGAUGUGGUCAAGGAUUAUGAUUGUGAGAUCCUGUACCACCCAGGCAAGGCUAAUGUGGUAGCCGAUGCAUUGAGCCGCAGGGCGGAGAGCACUCCACUGCGAGAUGUAUGUUUGAGAUUGACUGUAAUAGCUCCAGUAUUGGAUGCUAUUCGUGGGGCACAGGCCGAGGCUGUGCGACCAGAGAUGCAGAAGAGAGAGCGGGUCGUUGGUUUGGUUUCAGAGUUCGUUACGGAUGGACGAGGGCUUAUGACGUUUCAGGGUCGGAUUUGGGUACCGUUCGUGGGUGGUACGCGUAUUACUUUGAUGGAAGAGGCUCAUCGGUCGAAAUUUUCGAUCCAUCCGGGGGCUACGAAGAUGUAUUUGGAUUUGAGGAAAGAGUAUUGGUGGCCCUGUAUGAAGAGGGACGUCGCAUGGUUCGUUGAGAGGUGCUUGACCUGCCGCAGGGUUAAGGCCGAGCACCAGAGACCGCAUGGCAAGUUGCAGCCAUUGGAGGUUCCCGAAUGGAAGUGGGAACAGAUCACUAUGGAUUUCAUCACCAAAUUGCCGAGGACUGCCAGAGGAGUUGAUGCAAUUUGGGUGAUUGUGGAUAGGUUGACGAAGAGCGCUCACUUCCUUGCCAUCAGUGAGAGUUCUUCAGCGGAGAAGUUGGCGGAGAUAUAUGUGAGAGAAGUGGUAUCUCGGCAUGGGGUGCCGAUCUCGAUUGUUUCAGACCGUGAUGUGCGCUUCACUUCCAGAUUCUGGAAGAAAUUCCAUGAGGAGCUGGGUACUAAAUUGCAUUUUAGUACCGCAUACCAUCCCCAGACAGACGGUCAGAGCGAGCGAACGAUUCAGACGCUGGAGGACAUGCUUCGAGCGUGUGUGUUAGAUUUCGGGGGUAGCUGGGAUGCGUAUUUACCCUUGGCAGAGUUUUCCUACAACAACAGCCAUCAUUCGAGCAUUGGUAUGCCACCCUUUGAGCUGUUGUAUGGUAGGAGGUGUCGGACCCCCAUUUGCUGGGGAGAGGUUGGGCAGAGAGUGAUGGGCAGUACAGAGAUCGUGCUUCAGACGACAGAGCAGAUUCAGCAGGUCAGACAGAGGUUAUUGACCGCCCAGAGCCGACAGAAGAGUUAUGCAGAUAGACGCCGAUCCGAGCUUGAGUUUCAGGUCGGCGACUUCGUUCUCCUGAAGGUCUCUCCUUGGAAAGGAGUGAUUCGAUUCAGGAAGAGGGGCAAGUUGGGACCCCGGUAUAUUGGGCCAUUUCGUGUGAUUGCAAGGAUAGGCCGGGUAGCCUAUCGUUUGGAGUUGCCAGCAGAGUUGGGGCAGAUCCACGACACUUUUCAUGUGUCGCAAUUGAGGAAGUGUAUAGCCGAUGAGUCGGCAGUGGUUCCAUUAGAGGAUAUUCAGGUGGAUGCGAGCCUGAAUUAUGCCGAGAGGCCCGUGGCCAUCAGGGAUCAGAAGAUCAAGGUUCUGAGGAACAAGGAGGUACCUCUGGUGAUGGUUCAGUGGCAACACUGGAAGGGAUCGGAAAUGACUUGGGAGCCGGAGCGUGAGAUGCGGGAGCAGCAUCCGGAGCUAUUUUCUGAGUGACACUUCGAUGACGAAGUCUAGUCCUAGUGGGGGAGAGUUGUAACAGCCCGGAACUUCAGGUAUUGUUAUAUUUACGAUUUUAGGUGUUUUAAGAGGGGACUCGGCGAGUUGGAGCCUAGACUCGCCGAGUAGGAUCGCGGAUCUGGUCGCGGGUUCGCGACUGGACUCGACGAGUCCAGAUAUGGACUCGGCGAGUCUGCGCUGUUUAGCGAAAACCCUAACCGUUCAGGUUUGGGACGUAUAUAAGGGACCUUAUGGCCGUCAUUGUUCACCCUAGUCCUCUGAGAGAAACCCUAAUUCGAUUGUGAGCAUCUGGAGCAAGGUAGAAGACCAUUGUUGAUUUUGGAAGUGUUGUUUUGCAAGGAAGAGGAGGCUUGGUUAAGGGAACAACAAGAGAAGCCACGUUCUGAGGAUUGGGGACACAGAGAGCACGUUAUUCAGGUAAUAUUUCGAGUUGCAUUCUUCUAUGUUGAUGUGUAUAUGGAUUUAGGGUUUAUUGAACCCUUUUGUGGCUAGAUUGAGUGUUACCUUAGUCCCCCAAGCGAUUGGAACCCUGUAUUGGGACCUUUGGAAGUCCAGAAUGUCCCAUGCCUGAGCAUUUCGGGAAUCAAUGGAGGUUUUGGAUUGGAAUCCUUAUGCCUUAGGUCAAAAUGUAAAUUAUGAGUCAUGGGGUGUAUUAUGAGCACCGAAAUGAGGACCUUACGUGAUGAAUCAGUCUAGGAAGGCCAGACCUAUGAAUGGUCGGAGCAGUUCUGACCUUAGAAAGCAGUUUGAGCGGUUGCAUGGCAUGGACUCGCCGAGUCCGAUGAACAGACUCGGCGAGUAGCUUGAAGAUUAACUGGGACUCGUCGAGUUGUUCUUCAGACUCGGCGAGUUGAGUCGGGGUGGCCCCGCGAUUCUUCCAGGAGGAACUCGUCGAGUCAAGGGGGAUACUCGACGUGUAGAAAGGGAAUCUUAGAGAAUUGGUGAGGACGUCUAGACUCGCCGAGUCGCCCUAGCACUCGCCGAGUCAGGUCAAGUUGACCGUUGACCGUUGACCGUUGACCAGAGUUGACCUAUGUUUGAUCUCUUAGGGAUAGCCAAACUUAGAAGAUAAAAGUGUUAAUAAGAGAUGUAUGAUGUUAUAGGGAGAUUGUAGCUCGGCGGAUCGGGUACGAGUGACUUCGGGAUUUGCUAGCUUUCGACAUUCACGAGGUGAGUCUUCUCACUAUACUGUAC
RNAcentral lists this long non-coding RNA (7285 nucleotides) under Lactuca sativa (garden lettuce). RNAcentral's name for it is "long non-coding RNA (LSAT_LNC004349)". Lineage: Eukaryota; Viridiplantae; Streptophyta; Magnoliopsida; Asterales; Asteraceae. The record is from RNAcentral.